UUUUUUUUUUUUUUUAAAGGUUAUUAAAAAAAUCCUUUAAAUGCUGCAAUUCUGGAAUUAUUUCUCUUGCACUAAAAGUUCCCAGGGUGGCUUUUCCUUAUGGCAUUCGAGAAUCAUCCCACUUCAUCUCUCACCUGAAUCUUGUCAUCUGUGCCAUCUUGAAGUGAUCUGUGAACAAUGCUGGUCCCUUGGACAGCCCAAGCUGGUCAAUCAGGCAGAACAGACUAUGCAAAUGGAAUGGAAAGGCGAAGCGAUGAAGAACAGUGGCCCCCAUUGUCUUGGGCAUUUCAAAGCGAAGCCCAGCUGCAGCAGGCGUUGCUGUCUCCGGACCCUUGGUUGCUACUCUAAUGUCAUCAUUGCAAAACAUCACAUUUUGAAAACUCUACAGUCUGAAUGCAUGAGCAGCCCUCCACAAAGAUUUCACUUUGCCGUGACAUCUCUCGAAGUCACCCAAAAAAAGGAAAAAAAGGAAAAAAAACCGCCAGCCAACAACCAGUGGGGACUGUGAUCCCAGCCACAUUGCCAGCUCACAUCCCUCGGUCCCUUUCCCUGCGCUCCCAAUAACUGUGGUGCAGCUGAUGCUAAAUGCCUUUUGCAACCUUUUGGUGAUAUUUGUGAUCACCAUGUGCUGAGCAGAGGAAACUCCCCUGUCUUCCACCCUCAUGCCCAGAGCCUGUGCUCAAGGAGCUAAGGUCUCUGCCAUCCGUAUCUUAAAAUGCUGGGGAUUACCUUUCCCUCUUCCCCAUCUCUUAUCUCACAGGAAUUAGUGAAUCCAAAGCUUCUUCUCCAACUUAUUGUAGUUAGCCUACAAAGAUGGAUAAUGUCAUAGCCAGCCUCAGAUGCUGCCUAGUUCAUAGACGGAGCAGUCACACAUUUUAGUGGUCACUCUUGAGUGCUGACUAUGCUCAGUGUUCAUGCAGGAACAGAGAAGAAAGUUUCAUUGGACUAAGAGAGCUGAGUUAAGAAACUCUUAAUUACAUUCUUUACAGGACCAAGAAUAAUUCCGUGCUUCUUUCCUGCUCCUUUUGCUUGGGUAAUGCAUUCUGUAACAAUGUCACAUAGAUUACAAAGGAAGCAAAGAAUAGAAUUAUUUAAAACUAAAUAAUUAUCCACUGCAUUUUGAUUAGCUUCCUAAAUUUAAGUUUGUCCCUUUCAAAAUGCAAUGUGUCAGUAAGAAGGAAAAAAUCAGAGUAACAAACAAAAGCAAAGAGAGGUUGAAGUGAAUGGGGCAAAUAAAUUACUGCAUAGGUGCCAUUUCAUCUUCUGGUUGGAAGUUUCUUUUCCCUUGCCAGAGAGAAUUUUCCUAGGACAGGUACUGGGUUGAAAGAAAACCAGUUUCCAACUACAUCAGCCUCUUGGUCAUAUGAGUAACAGCAGGAAUGCAGACUGCUUCAUACAAAGGUUUCAAUAUAGCUGAUACCUACUGUAAGCACCCUUCCCUGCCAGGUAUUUGUUAGCAGAUGCCCCCAAGACUCUUUCUUUUAUCAGUUCAUCUGAUAGGAGAAAAACUUCACCUACUAGACAAAUGGAUCCCUCAAAAUCUAUGCUCUAGGAGGUCUUGCACAUGCUUUAGGUCCCCUCCAGGCGCCUCACUUGCUAACCUGAAUGCAGAAAUCCAGAGGAAAAACAAUGUUGUGAAGCCAGUGCCUGCACAGAGGACAACAGCAAUGCACAUGGCCAGGGGCCAAAUGCCCUGUUGCUGUACAUGGGUGUAUUUCAUCUGGAGAUACCUCUUACUUCCAGAAAGAGGUUAUGAAGGAGGAAGAUGCAGUGGCUUUCCAAGAGGAGCAGCUGCUCCUCGUGCUUCCCGUGGAGGUGUUGCCAAGGGGCUAAGCAGAGGUGAGGGUCCUCUCUGCGGACACAGCAGCUCCCACACAAUGGUGGGAUGGAUGAUAUCCUCAGGGCCCAGGCCAUGGGAAGGGGACAGGGGCCCACAAGGUCAGUCCACCACCCUUGGCCCAGACAUGUCCCUCUCCUAGAGCAGCCUGUGUUGCCAGCUGAACCUCAUCCCUUCACAGCAGCCUUCCAGCCUCACGCCCAGGGGUUGAGAGACCAGAGGUGCGUUAGCCACCCCUCACUCAGGCCUGCUGCCCCUCCAUAGCACCAAACAAUUUCCUGUCACUCUAGGUUUACAGACUUGGCUCUGCCAGGAGGGAAAUGGCCCCAAAUGUUCCCCUUGGGUAGGGUGCUGGGAUAACCAGGGACAACCUCCUUUCCCAGCGGUCCCAAGUCCCCCUGCCAACGGAAGCUGAUUGGAAACAAGAGCAGCUUCUCCCUUGAGGACAUGAACUUUGCUUUUCACUCACCGCUGGAACUUCUGCCCCUUUCCCCCACCAGCCCAAAUCCUUGUACAUUCAGCCACAGUUAUCUCUGCUCGUGCACUGACUGUAUUUUUCAUGUUUAUUAUCAUCCAACCCAGUGUAAUGCCAUCUGGCACAUGCACACGUGGGGAGAAGAAAACCAUAUAUUCAGCAAAUGGAGCAUACAGGGUUUAGGUUUUGUUUUGCUUCUCUUAUUCUUCCAGUUUCCAUUUAAAAUUAUGUGGAAGGGAUAUCUGAGCAAUUCUCCCUCAUGAAAAAUGAUCAAAACUCCCAGUUAUGAGAUUAAAAAAUACAGGAGAGUGCUGAUGCCAGGAAGGGUCAGGAACAUCCCUGCUGUUGAAAUACAGUUUCUUCUUUUCCUUCUCCUGUGUUUCAUUUCACCUUGUGCUCAGAUAAGGAACACUUAAUACUUUCAUACUUUAUAUGUAUAUAUUUAAUACUUUAAAUGUUUGUGUUCACUCUUUUUACCCAGGAUUUGUUCUGGUCUUUUAAAUCAUUAUUUUACUGUGAGACACGUAUUUUAAGCAUUAUGUGAAAAACCACACUCCUCCGAAGCACUAGAGCAUUGCGAGCCACCCUGCAGUCCUCGAAACCUUUGCUAUUUUCACUGAUACAUUAAAAACUGAUAUAAAAAUAAAUCUGCAGUGUAGAUGUAAAAAAAGCAGGCAGCGUUUUCAGUGAAAGCUAGCACCUAUCGCAUUGCCACCUUAAUUCAAAGAUAGUUUUGUAACAAAGUUGUGUAAUCAAACCAUUUUUCCUCCCUGAUAAUUCAUACUGUAAGAUUAUUAGUGGAGUUGUCCAUGGAAAAGGUACUACAAAAUUUAUUAUAUUACUUGAUUAAUUUUCUUUCAAUUUUUACUUUAAUUUUGUCUAAUUACUGUAUUGUGAUCUAAGUCAGCAUUCUUAAAUUAACUAUCAACUUAAAUUUUGAAGAAACUCUACAAGUGCAUGAUAAUGAUGAAAUUUAAAUUACUGUCGAUUUAUGUGUAAUGUCUACAUCAUGGAAAAGCAAUCCUUCAGGUAUUUUAAUUUCAUUUGCAUAUGUAGCAUUGUGUCUUUCCUGUUUCAUUUGUAAGAGUAGAAUACUUUGUCAUUUCCAAACUAUAAAAAUACUACUAAAAUAACCUGUUUGGGAUAUACAGAUAUAUAUUCCCUAAAUUGAACUAUGGUUUUGAUGAAAAUAUGAAAGAAAAUAGUUCUUGAGACUAGAUUGUUGGUCACCCAGAUUUGUUCAUAUUUGUUCAGAAAAGUAUCUUGUUUUACAGGUAGAUGCAGAAAGGUAAAACUGUUCUCAGAUCCUGCUAAAAUAAAGACAGACAUUUCAAUGCAAUUCAUACAGUGUCUGUAUGUUGAGUUAGAUUCUGGUCUCACAUCUGUUUAAAAAUCAAUAUAUUCUUUGCUCAAGCCCUGAUCCAAGGCUGAAUGAUGUCACUGUAAUGACUUCAAGUGGGCUGUGGAUCAAGGCCUUUUACACCACCGUUCCUUAUGCCACUAGUCUGAGAAAGGCUAUUUUUACCACGUCUUUCUUUUCCUGUGAAAUCAGAUCAUUUGGAAUGAAUUAAAAAUGCCUGAUCAGAGAUGCUCUGGCUUACUUUUUAUGACAAUACUGUUCAUUUUAAAUAUUUCCUACAAAUGCAAUUUGAUAGCAAAAUAAAAGUUUGCACUUUCCC
RNAcentral lists this long non-coding RNA (3991 nucleotides) under Strigops habroptila (Kakapo). Its description in RNAcentral is "lncRNA (ENSSHBG00005007815.1)". The record is from RNAcentral. Lineage: Eukaryota; Metazoa; Chordata; Aves; Psittaciformes; Psittacidae.